This 862-nucleotide ribosomal RNA is filed under the name uncultured bacterium. RNAcentral's name for it is "bacterial SSU rRNA". It matches the Rfam family "Bacterial small subunit ribosomal RNA", at positions 60 to 953 of the family's 1533-position model. The record is from RNAcentral.
AGUCGACGAUGAAUCUUCUAGCUUGCUAGAAGUGGAUUAGUGGCGCACGCGUGAGUAAUGCAUAGGUUAUGUGCCCUUUAGUCUGGGAUAGCCACUGGAAACGGUGAUUAAUACUGGAUACUCCCUACGGGGGAAAGUUUUUCGCUAAAGGAUCAGCCUAUGUCCUAUCAGCUUGUUGGUGAGGUAAUGGCUCACCAAGGCUAUGACGGGUAUCCGGCCUGAGAGGGUGAUCGGACACACUGGAACUGAGACACGGUCCAGACUCCUACGGGAGGCAGCAGUAGGGAAUAUUGCUCAAUGGGGGAAACCCUGAAGCAGCAACGCCGCGUGGAGGAUGGAGGUUUUAGGAUUGUAAACUCCUUUUGUUAGAGAAGAUUAUGACGGUAUCUAACGAAUAAGCACCGGCUAACUCCGUGCCAGCAGCCGCGGUAAUACGGAGGGUGCAAGCGUUACUCGGAAUCACUGGGCGUAAAGAGUGCGUGGGCGGGGUAAUAAGUCAGAUGUGAAAUCCUGUAGCUUAACUACAGAACUGCAUUUGAAACUGUUACUCUGGAGUGUGGGAGAGGUAGGUGGAAUUCUUGGUGUAGGGGUAAAAUCCGUAGAGAUCAAGAGGAAUACUCAUUGCGAAGGCGACCUGCUGGAACAUUACUGACGCUGAUGCACGAAAGCGUGGGGAGCAAACAGGAUUAGAUACCCUGGUAGUCCACGCCCUAAACGAUGGAUGCUAGUUGUUGCCUUGCUUGUCAGGGCAGUAAUGCAGCUAACGCAUUAAGCAUCCCGCCUGGGGAGUACGGUCGCAAGAUUAAAACUCAAAGGAAUAGACGGGGACCCGCACAAGCGGUGGAGCAUGUGGUUUAAUUCG